CACGUAGGGCGCAAGCGUUGUCCGGAAUUAUUGGGCGUAAAGAGCUCGUAGGCGGUCUGUUGCGUCCGCUGUGAAAACUCGGGGCUUAACCCCGAGCCUGCAGUGGAUACGGGCAGACUAGAGGUAGGUAGGGGAGAAUGGAAUUCCUGGUGUAGCGGUGAAAUGCGCAGAUAUCAGGAGGAAUACCGAUGGCGAAGGCAGGUCUCUGGGCCAUAACUGACGCUGAGAAGCGAAAGCAUGGGGAGCGAACAGG
Molecule: ribosomal RNA, 253 nt
Filed under: uncultured bacterium
Lineage: Bacteria
Description: partial 16S ribosomal RNA
Rfam family: Bacterial small subunit ribosomal RNA
Source: RNAcentral